GAUGAAGAACGUAGCGAAAUGCGAUAAUUAAUGUGAAUUGCAGAAUUCCGUGAAUCAUCGAGUUUUUGAACGCAUAUUGCGCCCCUUGGUAUUCCGAGGGGCAUGCCUGUCCGAGCGUCAUUGCAACCCUUCAAGCACGGCUUGUGUGUUGGACGGCCGCCCCAGUGUGGGCGGGUCCCAAAUGCAGUGGCGGCGCCGCGAUCCGGGUGCUCGAGUGCAUGGAAACCACGCGCUCGUUAGGCCCCGUCGGGCGCCGGCCGACCUAAUUAUCUUCGUUCUGGUUGACCUCGGAUCAGGUAGGAAUACCCGCUGAACUUAAGCAUAUCAAUAAGCGGAGA
RNAcentral lists this unclassified non-coding RNA (338 nucleotides) under soil metagenome. Its description in RNAcentral is "partial contains 5.8S ribosomal RNA, internal transcribed spacer 2, and large subunit ribosomal RNA". The stretch from base 1 to 120 matches the Rfam family "5.8S ribosomal RNA", at positions 35 to 154 of the family's 154-position model. The record is from RNAcentral.